Molecule: long non-coding RNA, 1371 nt
Organism: Alligator mississippiensis (American alligator)
Lineage: Eukaryota; Metazoa; Chordata; Crocodylia; Alligatoridae
Exons: 3
Source: RefSeq, a predicted model, not a curated record
UCACAGGAUGGAGGUAGGACAGCUGCACCUAAUCAUCAAAAAGCAUAUAUAAUGAAGCAGAGUGAAGAAGGUGGUUGUUGCUAGAAGGGGAACAUUAUCCUCCAUUUCCUAAGGAAGUCCUCAUUGUAACCAACCCGUGCUUUGGCCCAGGAUUGUCUACUUGUUCCCCUUGAGGAGAUUUGCCAGAAGAUGUAGAAGAGACCUUACUACACACCACGUGUUAGCUACAACACAACUGGCAAAAUGGCUUUUUGAAUCGUUGUUCUUUCAGAAGUAUUUCCUGUGCCUUCAUACUCCAGGCUUUCAUCUCAGGCCUUAAGGACCCCCUGUCUCACUCGGUUCAUAGGCUGGACCUGUUUGGGGGAGCGAGUCCAAGGUGUUUUACAGAAGCUGGAAGGUGUUUAAUGGAUGGGGUACGGGACUGCUGGAAAACAAAGGAUGGUUCUGUGGUUAAGAAAAUUGAAUGCCAGCAAGAAGAACUGUUUCUGCCAUGGAGUUCAUAUACAAUGCUGGGCAAGUCACUUGCAUCCAGCUUUUCAUACGUGAUCCCUAACAGUGUUCCUCACUUUCAUGAUGUCUAGUAUGCAGCUCCUAAAUCUAGAUUUGUAGAGAGAUCACAAUUGCAGGGGAAGAUGAAUGGACCUAUACUUUGAAUGAAAAUGUGGAAAAGCCUGAAGUCUCAAUUUGCACACCCAAAAUUAGUGGACAAUUUUGACUUAAAUCUCUGUGCCCUAGUUUCUUAGACAUAAAAUUGGAAUAAAUGCCACCACCUGCUUUCAGAGGAACGUGAAAAAUGUAUGAAUGUUUAUGGAAUACUUGGUUAUUAUGUUGGGAGCCCCCUAGAAAUGCUCCGGAAGAAAUUAAUAGUUUUGGAUAUAAUGAAAAAAUUGAAACAUAAUAGAACAAGCCUGGAAUCAGUGACUGAAUGAGGAGGAUAAAAAGAUACUUUGCAUAACUAGCUGCUCACUUAAUGAUGAGACAAAGGUCUUGUACUAAUGUGUGCCCAGUAGCAGAGUGGGUCAUCAUACACAUGACCAAAGGGGUCCAACCAAAGUUGCACAAGCAACUUGAAUUCCAGCACUUCCUAACUUUUGUGGACCUGGUUUUUCAACCUUAAUAGUCUUUACUGGCAAAACCCCCUCUUCUCAGGAAGAACAGUAGUUGUGGCAUGAUUUUCAGAUGCAUUAAUUGAAAAGUUAAACGUGUAGUUUACUUCUUUUUUCCAACUAAAAAGUUUGUUUGUGGAAGCGUCGAUGGUUUUCCAGCUUGACCAUAAUCAUCAAACUCCCUAGGUGAGAUUGUAUAAAGAAAAACCCCCAAAACAACCAGAGAUCUUUCUUUUCCCUAGACUGAGCUUUUUUUUUUUUUUUU